RNAcentral lists this long non-coding RNA (934 nucleotides) under Mytilus galloprovincialis (Mediterranean mussel). The record is from RNAcentral. Lineage: Eukaryota; Metazoa; Mollusca; Bivalvia; Mytilida; Mytilidae.
UGGGUGUUAAUCUUUAUGUUAAGUAAUGAUAUGGUCUAGUUAAAAAAGGUAAAAAAAUUAUUAUGUCUGAAACUGUAAAACUGAAUUUUAGACAACAUUAACAUAUAAUUGCCAAUAUCUUGAGUGAGAGGUGGUAGACCUUUCUAUAAUUUUGAUAUUAUUCGUCCCAAUAGUAGUACACUACACUGUACAAAUCUCUUGCGAUUGUUUUCAUUUUUAUAGAAAUGCACUAAGAAAUAAUUCUCGGACCAUAAACUAAGGAUGAGAUCAGAUGAUCAUCGGUACGCGUAAGCUGUUCGUGCGCCAAUAUUGGCACUAGUAAUGAUAAUCGCUAAUUUAGUCAUCAUAAACAUCAAACUACCUAAAAAACUUUUCCAUGAUUACUACCAUUUCUUUUUUCAACAGGUGGUUGUUUUCUUUGUUCUCGACUUGAUGAAAUGAUGAAACGUUGAUGUUCCUUUUUGUCGAGCCUUCGACUUUAGUCGAAAAAGCGAGACAUAGCGAUCCUACAUUCCGUCGUCGUCGGCGUCGUCGUCGUCGUCGGCGGCGUCCACAAAUAUUCACUCUGUGGUUAAAGUUUUUGAAAUUUUAAUAACUUUCUUAAACUAUACUUGAAUUGUACGAAACUUUGACAGAAGCUUGUUUAUGAUCAGGAGAUAGUAUCCAGAAGUAAAUUUUCUAAAAAUAAAAUUCCAUUUUUUCCGUAUUUUACUUAUAAAUGGACUUAGUUUUUUCUGCCAGGAAACAUUACAUUCACUCUGUGGUUAAAGUUUUUAAAAUUUUAAUAACUUUCUUAAACUAUUCCUGGAAAUGUACAAAACUUGGCCAGAAGCUUGUUUAUGAUCAGAGAUAGUAUCCAGAAGUAAAUUUUGUAAAAAUAAAAUUCCAUUUUUUCCGUAUUUUACUUAUAAAUGGACUUAGUUUUUUCUGCCAG